RNAcentral lists this ribosomal RNA (487 nucleotides) under uncultured bacterium. RNAcentral describes it as "bacterial SSU rRNA". It matches the Rfam family "Bacterial small subunit ribosomal RNA", at positions 28 to 526 of the family's 1533-position model. The record is from RNAcentral.
GACGAACGCUGGCGGCGUGCUUAACACAUGCAAGUCGAACGGAAAGGCCCCUUUGGGGGUGCUCGAGUGGCGAACGGGUGAGUAACACGUGGGUGAUCUGCCCCUGACUCUGGGAUAAGCCUGGGAAACUGGGUCUAAUACUGGAUAGGACCUGCUGCUUCAUGGUGGUGGGUGGAAAGUUUUUUCGGUCAGGGAUGGGCCCGCGGCCUAUCAGCUUGUUGGUGGGGUAAUGGCCUACCAAGGCGACGACGGGUAGCCGACCUGAGAGGGUGAUCGGCCACACUGGGACUGAGACACGGCCCAGACUCCUACGGGAGGCAGCAGUGGGGAAUAUUGCACAAUGGGCGCAAGCCUGAUGCAGCGACGCCGCGUGAGGGAUGACGGCCUUCGGGUUGUAAACCUCUUUCGCUAGGGACGAAGCCUUUACCGGUGACGGUACCUGGAGAAGAAGCACCGGCCAACUACGUGCCAGCAGCCGCCGUAAAAC